RNAcentral lists this ribosomal RNA (270 nucleotides) under uncultured bacterium. RNAcentral describes it as "partial 16S ribosomal RNA". The record is from RNAcentral.
CUGCUGCCUCCCGUAGGAGUCUGGGCCGUGUCUCAGUCCCAGUGUGGGGGGCCUUCCUCUCAGAACCCCUAGACAUCGUCGCCUUGGUGGGCCGUUACCCCGCCAACUAGCUAAUGUCACGCAUGCCCAUCCGUCUCCGGAGUCGCCUCCUUUGGCCGAAAGAAGAUGCCUCCCCUCGGCCACAUGCGGUAUUAGGCCGGAUUUCUCCGGGUUAUCCCGCUGAAACGGGCAGGUUGCAUACGCGUUACUCACCCGUGCGCCGGUCGCCGG